UUGUGGGUUUGAAUGUUGUAGCCAGGACCAGUUGCCUGUUCUUCCUUUUCACUCGAUGCGUCGUAUUCCACGGGGAACCUGGUUACCCCAGUGGUUCCUCACCUGUGGACGGACACGGGCUGUGUCUAGCCCCUGGCUUUUCUGAAUAAAGCUACUGUGGCCCAUUCUUGUACAUGUCUUUUUAUGGACAUGUGUUUCCAGUUCUCUUGGUUAAAUUCCUAGACGUGGAAUUGCUGAGUUGUAGAAUUAGGUGUAUGUUUAGUUUUAUAAAGCAGCUAUAAAAUGUUACACCACUGCCCAUCGUGAAAACUGAGCUGUUCUUUAAACCAUUCAGCAGAAGGUUGGCUUUCUGCUUGAGAGGCGGAGGGCGGGUGAGCGGUUCCUGCGCCCACAGGGAGAUGCUUGGGGGAGUGUGCCCCGUUUGCCCUGCUGGGGGCGGCACUGCUCUGGAGAAAGCAGCCGUGGCCUCCGAUGUAGACGGGCCUGCUUCUCCGCCUUCCUGGACAUCCAGCGGGAGGACUGGUUUUUCCUGGCCGUGCCUCGCCCUCUCCCUCCCCCACUGCCUCUCCCCAAUGGCGGGAGGAUCGCAGUCUUUGCCUCCUGGUUCUUUUCCCAUCUGUGCCCGCCUUUCUGUGUUCAUGGCGAACAGAAGGUGGGUUUGGACUCACCUGAUCACCAUGGAGUAGUCACACGUGCAUUUCUAGUUUGUUUCAGUGCGAGGGUGCCGGCUCAGCAUGUGUUGUAGGUGGCUGGCUUCCUGCAAGUCAGCCGCCCAGUGGGCUGGGCAGCCGGGAUACGCUGGCCUCGCCGCUCCUCCGAGUCCCGUAGGCCAGUGCUUGGGGGGUGUGGUUAAUAGGGCUACUAAUGUGGAUUCUAUUUUAUCCCACCUCUUUCGGGAAAGUCAUCUGAGGACUCAACACAGUAGGGCUCUGUAAGGGGCGAGAUUGGGGAAGGGCUAGAGGUGAUCAAGAAUGCAAGUACAGCAGCUGCAAACAUCAGGCGAGUUGGCUGUGAACAGAGACGCUCUAAAUGGAACAGCUCUCUGAGCUGCAGAGACAGUGUGUCCUGAGUUGCUCACCAAGAGGAGUGAUUCACUGGGAAGCUGUGUCCUGGGAUAGAGAGGUCUCCGGCCAUUGAGGGCUGGUGACAAAUGUCAGGCUGGGUUCCUGCAGCUGCUGCUGUGCCCCGUCCCCCAGGAAAAGCCAGGACAGACCCUGCGAGGUCGCUGCCUUCUUCUGUCGGCGCUGCUGUUUCCCAGGUGAUGUGGGUGUCCGGCCCAGGGCUCAGCGGUCAGGGGCGUUUGCAGCCCCCGUGGGCACUUGGUGUGUGCGUGCUUGCUACCCACGCCGAACGGACCUGCAGCCAUUGGGGCUGGUUUUUGGUGGAGCACUUGCUGUUGCCUGGGGCUGGGGAGCAGGAGUAAUGUUCCAGUGGGGAUGCUGCUCAUGUUUGCUUUUUACAAAAAUGAUGCUCGUAUCCAGUUACUAAAAUCAUGGAGACAUGGAGCAUACUGUUCUCCGGGGUUUCCUAAGCCGUUGGUGUUGACAAGGCUGCAUUCCUCAUGUUGAAAGGAAGAGGAAGACCGGAAUAUAAGGCUUAUCUGUAUUUAAGUGUUUCAGAAGGAAGAUGGAUCUGCUCUGUGUUUAAAUAUAGCACGUGUUUGCUACCGAGUUGUUGGAGAAUAAGCAAUCGAGUAUGUAGGUCAUCGACUUGGGAGAAUGAGUUCUGAGUCCUUUUUGCAUCUGAAUAACACAGUCUCACAGUUGGGCCGCGAUGCUACGCAGAAUUGGGUUACACAGAGUUCAGCAGGAUGUCUGGGAGGCGAACAGGGAGUCACAGGGGAUACCUUUGCCCCUUAAGGCAUUAGGGGUGUGACUUGGUGCGGGGCCCUGCUGGUCGCAGCCAGCCCGCCGCAGUGGCACUCACCAGUCUCGGGUGUGUGGAGAGAGGGGCUGGGUGCCGCGCCCCCACGCAGAUCCGCUGGAGAAGGGGCGAGGGCUGUACUCAAUCAGGAUAAAUGCCAGCGGCGUAUUUUAAUGCGCUGGAUGCAGACGCACUGUGCGGAGUUGCGUGUUUAAAGGGAACUGCCACCCCCUUUGAAGCAGCCUGCAGCCCGUGGAUGGCACCCAGCUCGGCCGCCCCUGCUCACCUCGGCCGUCCCAGCCCACUGGCUGUGCAGGGCACAGAGGUGGAAGGGCGGAGCCAGGGAACGCAGAUGGAUGGACUGCAUCUGGGACAGCACAGAAAAUAGUCUGUUUUGUUUUUUAAAAAGUGGCUGAGUGCCAAGACUUCCCUUAAAGUUUUCCACGCGCUGUCCUUAUAUUUUAAGACUAGAGUUCUAAAAUCUUG
Long non-coding RNA from Myotis lucifugus (little brown bat), 2349 nucleotides. RefSeq lists it as uncharacterized. Lineage: Eukaryota; Metazoa; Chordata; Mammalia; Chiroptera; Vespertilionidae. The record is from RefSeq and is a predicted model, not a curated record. The transcript is spliced from 2 exons.